GGCGUUGUGUCCCGAGCGGCAAAGGGAGCGGGCUGUAAACUCGUCGGCGGAAGCCUUCGCAGGUUCGAGUCCUGCCAGCGCCA
RNAcentral lists this transfer RNA (83 nucleotides) under Anaerolineae bacterium. RNAcentral describes it as "tRNA-Tyr". It matches the Rfam family "tRNA". From Rfam's summary of the family: Transfer RNA (tRNA) molecules are approximately 80 nucleotides in length. Their secondary structure includes four short double-helical elements and three loops (D, anti-codon, and T loops). Further hydrogen bonds mediate the characteristic L-shaped molecular structure. tRNAs have two regions of fundamental functional importance: the anti-codon, which is responsible for specific mRNA codon recognition, and the 3' end, to which the tRNAs corresponding amino acid is attached (by aminoacyl-tRNA synthetases). tRNAs cope with the degeneracy of the genetic code in two manners: having more than one tRNA (with a specific anti-codon) for a particular amino acid; and 'wobble' base-pairing, i.e. permitting non-standard base-pairing at the 3rd anti-codon position. The record is from RNAcentral. Lineage: Bacteria; Bacillati; Chloroflexota; Anaerolineae.